This 939-nucleotide ribosomal RNA is filed under the name Triticum aestivum (bread wheat). RNAcentral describes it as "partial small subunit ribosomal RNA". The record is from RNAcentral. Lineage: Eukaryota; Viridiplantae; Streptophyta; Magnoliopsida; Poales; Poaceae.
AUGGCCAUGGGUUCUGCCUCUUGCAUUUCUCUGGUGGUGCUCGUGGCUCUGGCCACGGCGGCCACGGGGCAGCUCUCGUCGACGUUCUACGACACGUCGUGUCCCAGGGCUCUGGCCACCAUCAAGAGCGGCGUGGCGGCCGCCGUGAGCAGCGACCCCCGCAUGGGCGCGUCCCUGCUCAGGCUUCACUUCCACGACUGCUUUGGCUGUGAUGCAUCUGUUCUGCUGUCUGGCAUGGAACAAAACGCGGGUCCGAACGUGGGGUCGCUGAGAGGCUUCGGCGUCAUCGACAGCAUCAAGACCCAGCUGGAGAGUAUAUGCAAGCAGACCGUCUCCUGCGCCGACAUCCUCACCGUCGCCGCCCGCGACUCCGUCGUCGCCCUUGGAGGGCCGUCAUGGACUGUUCCACUUGGGAGACGGGACUCCACCACCGCAAGUGCGGCGCUGGCGAACAGCGACCUCCCAGGCCCUGGCUCCAGCCGGUCACAGCUCGAGGCCGCGUUCCUCAAGAAGAACCUUAACACGGUCGACAUGGUCGCGCUCUCAGGCGCGCACACCAUCGGGAAGGCCCAGUGCUCCAACUUCCGGACUCGAAUCUACGGCGGUGCCACCAACAUCAACACUGCCUUCGCGACGUCUCUCAAGGCCAACUGCCCCCAGUCCGGCGGCAACGGCAACCUGGCGAACCUGGACACGACGACGCCCAACACGUUCGACAACGCCUACUACACCAACCUCCUGUCACAGAAAGGGCUCCUGCAUUCGGACCAGGUGCUCUUCAACAACGACACCACCGACAACACCGUCCGCAACUUCGCAUCCAACGCGGCGGCCUUCAGCAGCGCCUUCACGACGGCGAUGAUCAAGAUGGGAAACAUCGCGCCGCUCACCGGGACGCAGGGGCAGAUCAGGCUCAGCUGCUCCAAGGUGAACUCGUGA